RNAcentral lists this transfer RNA (361 nucleotides) under uncultured Microcystis sp. Its description in RNAcentral is "partial 16S-23S ribosomal RNA intergenic spacer". The stretch from base 136 to 209 matches the Rfam family "tRNA". Lineage: Bacteria; Bacillati; Cyanobacteriota; Cyanophyceae; Chroococcales; Microcystaceae. The record is from RNAcentral.
AAAGGGAGACCUAAUUCAGGUAAGAGACGAAAAAAAAGUAGUCGCUACCAAGAAUCAAUCCCAAAAGGUCGGAGCGAGGCGAAAUUGGCUUUCAAACUAGGUUCUGGGUUCAAACAAGACCUGAAUCAGGAACAAGGGCUAUUAGCUCAGGUGGUUAGAGCGCACCCCUGAUAAGGGUGAGGUCCCUGGUUCGAGUCCAGGAUGGCCCACCUGCACAGGUGGCAAAAACAAGAGAAGCGAGGAAUCAGCACCUUAUCUUACUGACAUAGUAAGAGAGAAUGCUGGCUCUGAGUAAAGAGUCCAGAGGAACCUUGAAAACUGCAUAGAGCUAGGUGAAAAAGCCAAAAAAGAAGACCGCAAG